This 200-nucleotide ribosomal RNA is filed under the name uncultured bacterium. Its description in RNAcentral is "partial 16S ribosomal RNA". It matches the Rfam family "Bacterial small subunit ribosomal RNA", at positions 29 to 256 of the family's 1533-position model. The record is from RNAcentral.
AGCGAACGCUGGCGGCAGGCCUAAUACAUGCAAGUCGAGCGGUCCCUUCGGGGGCAGCGGCGGACGGGUGAGUAACGCGUGGGAAUAUGCCCUUUGGUACGGAACAACUGAGGGAAACUUCAGCUAAUACCGUAUGUGCCCUUCGGGGGAAAGAUUUAUCGCCAUUGGAGUAGCCCGCGUUGGAUUAGGUAGUUGGUGAG